AAUCAACGCUGGCGGCGUGCCUCAGACAUGCAAGUCGAACGCGAAAGUUCCCUUCGGGGAGCAAGUAGAGUGGCGCACGGGUGAGUAACACGUAGGUAAUCUACCUUCGGGUGGGGAAUAACAAUCGGAAACGGUUGCUAAUACCGCAUAAUGCAGCGGCACCUAAUGGUGACAGUUGUUAAAGCGGGGGAGUCGCAAGAUCUCGCGCCUGAAGAGGAGCCUGCGGCGGAUUAGCUAGUUGGUAGGGUAAUGGCCUACCAAGGCGACGAUCCGUAGCCGGCCUGAGAGGGCGGUCGGCCACACUGANACUGACAUACGGGUCAGACUCCUACGGGA
This 336-nucleotide ribosomal RNA is filed under the name uncultured bacterium. RNAcentral's name for it is "bacterial SSU rRNA". It matches the Rfam family "Bacterial small subunit ribosomal RNA", at positions 32 to 346 of the family's 1533-position model. The record is from RNAcentral.